RNAcentral lists this ribosomal RNA (253 nucleotides) under uncultured bacterium. RNAcentral describes it as "partial 16S ribosomal RNA". It matches the Rfam family "Bacterial small subunit ribosomal RNA", at positions 524 to 776 of the family's 1533-position model. The record is from RNAcentral.
UACGUAGGGACCAAGCGUUGUUCGGAUUUACUGGGCGUAAAGGGCGCGUAGGCGGCAAUUCAAGUCAGUUGUGAAAUCCCCGAGCUUAACUCGGAACGGUCAACUGAUACUGUUUUGCUAGAGUGCAGAAAGGGCAACCGGAAUUCUUGGUGUAGCGGUGAAAUGCGUAGAUAUCAAGAGGAACACCUGAGGCGAAGGCGGGUUGCUAGGCUGACACUGACGCUGAGGCGCGAAAGCUAGGGUAGCAAACGGG